GAUGAAGAACGUAGCAAAAUGCGAUACUUGGUGUGAAUUGCAGAAUCCCGUGAACCAUCGAGUUUUUGAACGCAAGUUGCGCCCGAAGCCUUUUGGCCGAGGGCACGUCUGCCUGGGCGUCACGCAUCGCGUCGCCCCCCACAAAUUCUACGUCAGGGGAGCUUGUGUUUCGGGGGCGGAUACUGGUCUCCCGUGCUCAUGGCGCGGUUGGCCGAAAUAGGAGUCCCUUCGAUGGACGCACGAACUAGUGGUGGUCGUAAAAACCCUCGUCUUUUGUUUCGUGCCGUUAGUCGCGAGGGAAGCUCUUCAAAAACCCCAACGCGUCGUCUCUUGACGGCGCUUCGACCGCGACCCCAGGUCAGGCGGGACUACCCGCUGAGUUUAAGCAUAUCAAUAAGCGGAGGA
This 405-nucleotide unclassified non-coding RNA is filed under the name soil metagenome. RNAcentral describes it as "partial contains 5.8S ribosomal RNA, internal transcribed spacer 2, and large subunit ribosomal RNA". The stretch from base 1 to 122 matches the Rfam family "5.8S ribosomal RNA", at positions 35 to 154 of the family's 154-position model. The record is from RNAcentral.